AGUGAACGCUGGCGGUAGGCCUAACACAUGCAAGUCGAACGGCAGCACAGUAAGAGCUUGCUCUUACGGGUGGCGAGUGGCGGACGGGUGAGGAAUACAUCGGAAUCUACUUUUUCGUGGGGGAUAACGUAGGGAAACUUACGCUAAUACCGCAUACGACCUACGGGUGAAAGCAGGGGAUCUUCGGACCUUGCCCGAUUGUAUGAGCCGAUGUCGGAUUAGCUAGUUGGCGGGGUAAAGGCCCACCAAGGCGACGAUCCGUAGCUGGUCUGAGAGGAUGAUCAGCCACACUGGAACUGAGACACGGUCCAGACUCCUACGGGAGGCAGCAGUGGGGAAUAUUGGACAAUGGGCGCAAGCCUGAUCCAGCCAUACCGCGUGGGUGAAGAAGGCCUUCGGGUUGUAAAGCCCUUUUGUUGGGAAAGAAAAGCAGCAGGUUAAUACCCCGCUGUUCUGACGGUACCCAAAGAAUAAGCACCGGCUAACUUCGUG
This 492-nucleotide ribosomal RNA is filed under the name uncultured bacterium. RNAcentral describes it as "partial 16S ribosomal RNA". It matches the Rfam family "Bacterial small subunit ribosomal RNA", at positions 29 to 507 of the family's 1533-position model. The record is from RNAcentral.